AUGCGUGUAUGACCUCGUCAUUUCCUCCCAAAAACAUUCUAUCAGGAAUGAAAUCAAAAGCUUUGUAAGUCGCUGGUUCUUUCUACAUAUUUUCCACGGGUUCUUCAUAAUACUCCGUUGGUCGUCCAAAACCUCGUUUGCAAAGUCUUUCAGAUUUAUUUUCGUUCUCCGAUUUCUCUGCAAGAUCGAGGAUCUGUUUUCCGAUUUCUCUGCGAUCGGAUCUGGCGAAAAUGAGUGAGGACUCUGUUUCUAUGUGCUUGUUUAUGUACUUGUUAUAUAUGUGGAUUCUUACAUCUUUUUCCCGAAUUGAAACAAUUUAUUACAUCUUAUGACUCCAAAAGUUGGGAUUCAAUUUAUAAACCGGUGGGUGAUUAAAAUGAAUAUUCACGCAGUAAAUUUUCUAUAUAUAUAUAUAUAUAUAUUUUUAUCUUUGUAGUUUUCUGGCCCUUGGGUUCCCCAGUUUUAAAUUAGUUUGUUUUUCUGGCUAUUUAUGCCUUCAUUAUUUUGAAUGAUUUUUCAAUUUGUGAU
This 528-nucleotide long non-coding RNA is filed under the name Actinidia chinensis (golden kiwifruit). RNAcentral describes it as "long non-coding RNA (ACHI_LNC000985)". Lineage: Eukaryota; Viridiplantae; Streptophyta; Magnoliopsida; Ericales; Actinidiaceae. The record is from RNAcentral.